UACGUAGGGUGCAAGCGUUGUUCGGAAUUAUUGGGCGUAAAGCGCGUGUAGGCGGCUUUGCAAGUCGGGUGUGAAAGCCCUCAGCUCAACUGAGGAAGUGCGUCCGAAACUGCAGAGCUUGAGUGCCGGAGAGGGUAGUGGAAUUUCCGGUGUAGCGGUGAAAUGCGUAGAUAUCGGAAGGAACACCAGUGGCGAAGGCGCUACCUGGACCGGUUCUGACGCUGAGGCGCGAAAGCGUGGGUAGCAAACAGG
This 252-nucleotide ribosomal RNA is filed under the name uncultured bacterium. RNAcentral's name for it is "partial 16S ribosomal RNA". It matches the Rfam family "Bacterial small subunit ribosomal RNA", at positions 524 to 776 of the family's 1533-position model. The record is from RNAcentral.